RNAcentral lists this ribosomal RNA (216 nucleotides) under uncultured bacterium. Its description in RNAcentral is "partial 16S ribosomal RNA". It matches the Rfam family "Bacterial small subunit ribosomal RNA", at positions 118 to 335 of the family's 1533-position model. The record is from RNAcentral.
UGAGCAAUCUGCCCUUCACAUCGGAAUAACCAUUGGAAACGAUGGCUAAUACCGAAUAUGACUUCGGAUCGCAUGAUCUGAAGUGGAAAGCUCCGGCGGUGAAGGAUGAGCUCGCGGCCUAUCAGCUUGUUGGUGAGGUAAUAGCUCACCAAGGCGAUGACGGGUAGCCGGCUGAGAGGGUGACCGGCCACACGUGGGACUGAGACACCGGCAGUA